RNAcentral lists this ribosomal RNA (309 nucleotides) under uncultured eukaryote. RNAcentral describes it as "partial 18S ribosomal RNA". It matches the Rfam family "Eukaryotic small subunit ribosomal RNA", at positions 1470 to 1796 of the family's 1831-position model. The record is from RNAcentral.
CCCUUAGAUGUUCUGGGCGGCCCGCGCACUACACUGGCACUCUCAAUCAGAGCCUGGAUCUAACACUUUGGGGUAUUCUAUGAAGUGGUGUCGUGACUGGGAUUAACCCUUGCACUUAUUGGUUACGAACGAGGAAUUCCUUGUAAUCGCGGUUUAUCAGCCCGCGUUGAAUGCGUCCCUGCCCUUUGUACACACCGCCCGUCGCUCCUACCGAUGGAUCGUCCGGUGAAGCUCAUGGAGGGGCGGUUGUCUCAGCUGCCGUCGAAGUGAAAUGGACCUCACGAUCUAGAGGAAGGAGAAGUCGUAACA